GACGGAGGAUGCAAGUGUUAUCCGGAGUUACUGGGCGUAAAGCGCACGCAGGCGGUCUCUUAAGUUUGGAGUGACAGUUGGUGGCUUAACUGCCAAAGUGCUUCGAAAACUGAGAGACUUGAGGGCUUCAGAGGGACACGGAAUUCCGGGUGGAGUGGUGAAAUGCGUAGAGAUCCGGAGGAACACCAAAGGCGAAGGCAGUGUCCUGGGGAGUACCUGACGCUCAGGUGCGAAAGCCAGGGGAGCGAACGGG
This 253-nucleotide ribosomal RNA is filed under the name uncultured bacterium. RNAcentral describes it as "partial 16S ribosomal RNA". It matches the Rfam family "Bacterial small subunit ribosomal RNA", at positions 524 to 776 of the family's 1533-position model. The record is from RNAcentral.